This 483-nucleotide ribosomal RNA is filed under the name uncultured bacterium. RNAcentral describes it as "partial 16S ribosomal RNA". It matches the Rfam family "Bacterial small subunit ribosomal RNA", at positions 28 to 507 of the family's 1533-position model. The record is from RNAcentral.
GACGAACGCUGGCGGCGUGCUUAACACAUGCAAGUCGAACGCUGAAGCUCAGCUUUUGUUGGGUGGAUGAGUGGCGAACGGGUGAGUAACACGUGAGUAACCUGCCCCCUUCUUUGGGAUAACGCCCGGAAACGGGUGCUAAUACUGGAUAUUCACUGGUCUUCGCAUGGGGGUUGGUGGAAAGGGUUUUUCUGGAGGGGGAUGGGCUCGCGGCCUAUCAGCUUGUUGGUGGGGUGAUGGCCUACCAAGGCUUUGACGGGUAGCCGGCCUGAGAGGGUGACCGGUCACAUUGGGACUGAGAUACGGCCCAGACUCCUACGGGAGGCAGCAGUGGGGAAUAUUGCACAAUGGGCGCAAGCCUGAUGCAGCGACGCCGCGUGAGGGAUGGAGGCCUUCGGGUUGUGAACCUCUUUCGCUCAUGGUCAAGCCGCAACAAUGGUUGUGGUGAGGGUAGUGGGUAAAGAAGCGCCGGCUAACUACGUG